GAUGAACGCUGGCGGCGUGCCUAAUACAUGCAAGUCGAGCGAACGGACGAGAAGCUUGCUUCUCUGAUGUUAGCGGCGGACGGGUGAGUAACACGUGGAUAGCCUACCUAUAAGACUGGGAUAACUUCGGGAAACCGGAGCUAAUACCGGAUGAUAUUUUGAACCGCAUGGUUCAAAAGUGAAAGACGGUCUUGCUGUCACUUAUAGAUGGAUCCGCGCUGCAUUAGCUAGUUGGUAAGGUAACGGCUUACCAAGGAAACGAUGCAUAGCCGACCUGAGAGGGUGAUCGGCCACACUGGAACUGAGACACGGUCCAGACUCCUACGGGAGGCAGCAGUAGGGAAUCUUCCGCAAUGGGCGAAAGCCUGACGGAGCAACGCCGCGUGAGUGAUGAAGGUCUUCGGAUCGUAAAACUCUGUUAUUAGGGAAGAACAUAUGUGUAAGUAACUGUGCACAUCUUGACGGUACCUAAUCAGAAAGCCACGGCUAACUACGUG
Molecule: ribosomal RNA, 497 nt
Filed under: uncultured bacterium
Lineage: Bacteria
Description: partial 16S ribosomal RNA
Rfam family: Bacterial small subunit ribosomal RNA
Source: RNAcentral